RNAcentral lists this ribosomal RNA (1470 nucleotides) under metagenome. RNAcentral's name for it is "bacterial SSU rRNA". It matches the Rfam family "Bacterial small subunit ribosomal RNA". The record is from RNAcentral.
AGAGUUUGAUCCUGGCUCAGGACGAACGCUGGCGGCACGCUUAACACAUGCAAGUCGAACGAGAGAAGAGGAGCUUGCUUUUCUGAUCUAGUGGCGGACGGGUGAGUAACACGUGAGCAAUCUGCCUUUCAGAGGGGGAUACCGAUUGGAAACGAUCGUUAAUACCGCAUAACAUAAUUGAACCGCAUGAUUUGAUUAUCAAAGAUUUAUCGCUGAAAGAUGAGCUCGCGUCUGAUUAGCUAGUUGGUAAGGUAACGGCUUACCAAGGCGACGAUCAGUAGCCGGACUGAGAGGUUGAUCGGCCACAUUGGGACUGAGACACGGCCCAGACUCCUACGGGAGGCAGCAGUGGGGAAUAUUGCACAAUGGAGGAAACUCUGAUGCAGCGAUGCCGCGUGAGGGAAGAAGGUUUUAGGAUUGUAAACCUCUGUCUUCAGGGACGAAAAAAGACGGUACCUGAGGAGGAAGCUCCGGCUAACUACGUGCCAGCAGCCGCGGUAAUACGUAGGGAGCGAGCGUUGUCCGGAAUUACUGGGUGUAAAGGGAGCGUAGGCGGGAUCGCAAGUCAGAUGUGAAAACUAUGGGCUUAACCCAUAAACUGCAUUUGAAACUGUGGUUCUUGAGUGAAGUAGAGGUAAGCGGAAUUCCUAGUGUAGCGGUGAAAUGCGUAGAUAUUAGGAGGAACAUCAGUGGCGAAGGCGGCUUACUGGGCUUUAACUGACGCUGAGGCUCGAAAGCGUGGGGAGCAAACAGGAUUAGAUACCCUGGUAGUCCACGCCGUAAACGAUGAUUACUAGGUGUGGGGGGACUGACCCCUUCCGUGCCGCAGCAAACGCAAUAAGUAAUCCACCUGGGGAGUACGACCGCAAGGUUGAAACUCAAAGGAAUUGACGGGGGCCCGCACAAGCAGUGGAGUAUGUGGAUUAAUUCGAAGCAACGCGAAGAACCUUACCAGGUCUUGACAUCGUAUGCAUAGCUCAGAGAUGAGUGAAAUCUCUUCGGAGACAUAUAGACAGGUGGUGCAUGGUUGUCGUCAGCUCGUGUCGUGAGAUGUUGGGUUAAGUCCCGCAACGAGCGCAACCCUUACUGUUAGUUGCUACGCAAGAGCACUCUAGCAGGACUGCCGUUGACAAAACGGAGGAAGGUGGGGAUGACGUCAAAUCAUCAUGCCCCUUAUGACCUGGGCCUCACACGUACUACAAUGGCUGUCAACAGAGGGAAGCAAAGCCGCGAGGUGGAGCGAACCCCUAAAAGCAGUCUUAGUUCGGAUUGUAGGCUGCAACCCGCCUACAUGAAGUCGGAAUUGCUAGUAAUCGCAGAUCAGCAUGCUGCGGUGAAUACGUUCCCGGGCCUUGUACACACCGCCCGUCACGCCAUGGGAGUCGGUAACACCCGAAGCCUGUAGUCUAACCGCAAGGAGGACGCAGUCGAAGGUGGGAUUGAUGACUGGGGUGAAGUCGUAACAAAGUA